AGAGUUUGAUCAUGGCUCAGGACGAACGCUGGCGGCGUGCUUAACACAUGCAAGUCGAGCGGAAAGGCCACUUCGGUGGUACUCGAGCGGCGAACGGGUGAGUAACACGUGAGUAAUCUGCCCUUGGCUUUGGGAUAGCCACCGGAAACGGUGAUUAAUACCGGAUACGACCACUUCUCGCAUGGGAUGGUGGUGGAAAGUUUUUCGGCCAGGGAUGUGCUCGCGGCCUAUCAGCUUGAUGGUGAGGUAAUGGCUCACCAUGGCUUCGACGGGUAGCCGGCCUGAGAGGGUGACCGGUCACACUGGGACUGAGACACGGCCCAGACUCCUACGGGAGGCAGCAGUGGGGAAUAUUGGACAAUGGGCGGAAGCCUGAUCCAGCAACGCCGCGUGAGGGAUGACGGCCCUCGGGUUGUAAACCUCUUUCGGUAGGGACGAAGCGCAAGUGACGGUACCUACUAAAGAAGCACCGGCCAACUACGUGCCAGCAGCCGCGGUA
RNAcentral lists this ribosomal RNA (499 nucleotides) under uncultured Actinomycetes bacterium. RNAcentral describes it as "bacterial SSU rRNA". It matches the Rfam family "Bacterial small subunit ribosomal RNA", at positions 8 to 522 of the family's 1533-position model. The record is from RNAcentral. Lineage: Bacteria; Bacillati; Actinomycetota; Actinomycetes.